GACUGGAUAGCCUAGUGGUAAAGGCAUCACAUUGACAUUCUGAGGUCCCAGGUUCAAAUCCUGGUCUAGUCA
This 72-nucleotide transfer RNA is filed under the name Cronartium ribicola 11-2. Its description in RNAcentral is "tRNA-Val (GAC) (tRNA-Val-GAC-1-1)". It matches the Rfam family "tRNA". Rfam says of the family: Transfer RNA (tRNA) molecules are approximately 80 nucleotides in length. Their secondary structure includes four short double-helical elements and three loops (D, anti-codon, and T loops). The record is from RNAcentral. Lineage: Eukaryota; Fungi; Basidiomycota; Pucciniomycetes; Pucciniales; Coleosporiaceae.